RNAcentral lists this ribosomal RNA (371 nucleotides) under uncultured organism. RNAcentral's name for it is "bacterial SSU rRNA". It matches the Rfam family "Bacterial small subunit ribosomal RNA", at positions 526 to 896 of the family's 1533-position model. The record is from RNAcentral.
CAGAGGGUGCAAGCGUUGUUCGGAAUUAUUGGGCGUAAAGGGCGCGUAGGCGGUGCGGUAAGUCUUUUGUGAAAUCUCCGGGCUCAACUCGGAGUCUGCAGGAGAAACUGCCGUGCUUGAGUAUGGGAGAGGUGAGUGGAAUUCCUGGUGUAGCGGUGAAAUGCGUAGAUAUCAGGAGGAACACCUGUGGCGAAAGCGGCUCACUGGACCAUUACUGACGCUGAUGCGCGAAAGCUAGGGGAGCAAACAGGAUUAGAUACCCUGGUAGUCCUAGCCCUAAACGAUGAUUGCUUGGUGUGGCAGGUACCCAAUCCUGCUGUGCCGAAGCUAAACGCGAUAAGCAAUCCGCUGGGGAUACGGUCGCAAGGCUG